GAUGAACGCUGGCGGCGUGCCUAACACAUGCAAGUCGAACGAAGCACUGAGAGUUUGAGAUUUCGGUCAAGAACACUCUUUGACUUAGUGGCGGACGGGUGAGUAAUGCGUGAGCAACCUGCCUUUCAGAGGGGGACAACAGUUGGAAACGGCUGCUAAUACCGCAUGAUAUAUUCGGAUCGCAUGGUCUGGAUAUCAAAGAUUUAUCGCUGAAAGAUGGGCUCACGUCUGAUUAGUUAGUUGGUGAGGUAACGGCUCACCAAGACUGCGAUCAGUAGCCGGACUGAGAGGUUGAACGGCCACAUUGGGACUGAGAUACGGCCCAGACUCCUACGGGAGGCAGCAGUGGGAAUAUUGGGCAAUGGGCGAAAGCCUGACCCAGCAACGCCGCGUGAAGGAAGAAGGUCUUCGGAUUGUAAACUUCUUUAUCAGGGACGAAGGAAGUGACGGUACCUGAUGAAUAAGCACGGCUAACUACGUGCCAG
RNAcentral lists this ribosomal RNA (485 nucleotides) under uncultured bacterium. RNAcentral describes it as "bacterial SSU rRNA". It matches the Rfam family "Bacterial small subunit ribosomal RNA", at positions 28 to 511 of the family's 1533-position model. The record is from RNAcentral.